RNAcentral lists this transfer RNA (70 nucleotides) under Caenorhabditis japonica. Its description in RNAcentral is "tRNA CJA47771". It matches the Rfam family "tRNA". From Rfam's summary of the family: Transfer RNA (tRNA) molecules are approximately 80 nucleotides in length. Their secondary structure includes four short double-helical elements and three loops (D, anti-codon, and T loops). Lineage: Eukaryota; Metazoa; Nematoda; Chromadorea; Rhabditida; Rhabditidae. The record is from Rfam by way of RNAcentral.
ACCUGUGGUAUAGUGGUUAGUACUCCACGUUGUGGCCGUGGCGACGCUGGUUCGAUUCCAGCAGCAGGCA